AUGCCAUUAAGUUCUAAUGUUGUUCAUGGAAAAUUGUAUGCUCAUGGGUCGAUGGGAGUCGUACCAUCAAAGAUUUACCUUUAUGGUACGGUUGAAUGUACAAAUGACCUUUCAGGCGUAGAUUGUAAGAAGUGUAUUGAUGUUGCAAGAAGUGAACUUUUGGGUCAUACUUAUAAAAUGAAAGUUGGUCGUGCUAUUUAUGAGAGUUGUAAUAAUAGAAAUAUUACCACUUUCACUACGUAA
Molecule: long non-coding RNA, 243 nt
Filed under: Prunus dulcis (almond)
Lineage: Eukaryota; Viridiplantae; Streptophyta; Magnoliopsida; Rosales; Rosaceae
Description: sRNA ncRNA
Source: RNAcentral